CAAGUGCAUGGCAGUCGUCACAGGACUCAACAAUGCUACGAGCCUCUGUUGGCGUUAGCUGAAACUGCUUCUGCAGAGUAUGUGCAUUCUGAUGGAAAAACCCAUGUGAUGCCUUGGCCUGUGCGAGUGUAUCAGGCUGGGGUGCUACCCACGCCGGAUUAGCCAACUUGUCAGCCCUCGCGUUACCUUCUGCUACAAACCCUGGUAAAUUGGUGUGACUUCUCACAUGCAGAACGUAAAACGGAUGAACCCGGGCCUGAAUAGCACACCACAAGGUCCUCAGUAAAUGAAACAAGGCAGGGUUACUGACCUCCUUCAAAACUGAGUGACCCAACCGCUGUGCGAUAUCAGCCACAUAGGCAGAAUCCGUGACCAAAUUGAAAGGUUCCUGGGAAAAUCUCUCAAAUGCCAUAACAGCGGCCCUCAACUCAACCACUUGGGCCGACCCAUCCUGAUGACCUUUCAGAACCUUCCACUCAGAUCCGUCCUUCCAAGUAACAAUGGCCUUUCCUGUUUUCCCCGAACCGUCAGUAAAGACGGUGGGUCCUUGCACAGGUUCCUGACUAUUUUUGGGCCGCAAAGAGAUCUGCAUAGAUUUUGCCACCUGCAGUAGCUUGUGGCUGGGCAAAUGAUAAGUGAUCUGCCCUGAAAAGUUUUCUAGAGCACAUUGCAGGGACACACAGUGUGCAAAGCUCCAGUCAAAGUCCUCCCGGGAUAUCGGGAGUAUGAUCUUUGCAGGAUCCGCACCCAUCAAUUGCAAACACCGUUGCCGGCAUUUCAUUAUCAACCGAGCAAUCAACUCAGCCAAUGUCGUUGCCGUCUUCUGCGGCUGAUGGGGCAGGAAAACCCAUUCCAAGAUGUGCAAGGGAUCGGACCAUUUGUCACUCCAUUGACCAAUGAUACCUGUGGGAUGCGAAUCUGGAGUGGUAACGAACACAGCGACAUCAACGGAAAGAUCAAUGCGAUAAACCUGACGGGCAGAAACAGCCUGCUGAACCUCCUCCAGCACCUGACGUGCCUCAGGGGUCAAUGUGCGAGGUGAUUUUAAAUCAGAGUCUCCUUUCAACAGAUCAUACACAGGAGACAGUUGUGCAUCGGUUAGUCCCAAGUAUGGACGUAACCAGGUGAUGACACCCAUCAGUUUUUGAACAUCAUUCAGUGUCUUCACCGAGUGUGCAAAUUGCACCUCCUGGUGUUGGAUUGUCCGUUCCAGAAUUUUGACCCCCAAAUACUUCCAAGGAGGUUGCUGUUGAACCUUUUCUGGAGCCACCUGCAGCCCAUGAGCAUGCAAAGCAUCGAGCAACCGAGGCUGAAUCCUCAGCAGCUCAUCCUGAGUGGACGCAGCCACCAAGAUGUCGUCCAUAUAAUGAUACAGACGUGCAUCAGGAAACUGCUUGCGAACUCCAGACAAGGCACGGGCCACAUACCAUUGGCAUAUGACCGGGGAAUUGCGCAUCCCCUGUGGCAGAACUUUCCAUUGAUAUCGCUGUGCAGGCUCAUCAUUGUCAAUUGCUGGCACCGUGAAGGCAAAUUUCGGUCUGUCAUCGGGAUGCAAAGGAAUUGUAAAGAAACAAUCCUUCAAAUCCACGAUGAAGAUCGGCCAGCCUGCAGGAAGCAUGGUAGGCGAUGGCAUGCCCGCCUGCAAUGUUCCCAUGCCUUCCAUGACAGCAUUGACCUUCCGGAGGUCCUGUAACAACCUCCAUUUCCCAGACUUCUUUUUGAUGCAGAAAACAGGGGUGUUCCAGGGACUGUUAGAAGGCUCCAGACGACCCUGGUCCAGCUGCUCCUGCACCAAUUUCCGAAGGGCGAUCAGUUUAUCUUGAGGGAGGGGCCACUGGUUUUCCCAAACAGGUGUAUCCACCAGCCACCGUAUAGGAGGCGUAGGACACUCUGCGCCCUUCGCUGCAGUGGCCCCCAUCAAAAACCCGUCCCAAUGCGCACCCCCCACGCAGAUAGAACAUCCCUCCCCCAGAGGUUAGCAGGAGAAGAAGUAACAUAAGGCCUAAUCCAGGCCGUCUGUCCCUCUGGGUUUGUGACCAGCACAGGCCGUUGGCUCACAUAACACCGUGCUGUUCCCCCCAGGCCCGCAACAGACGUCUCCGCUGGAUCCAGGGGCCAGUCCGGAGGCCAGGCGGCAAGGGAGAGAACCGUGACAUCAGCGCCGCUGUCAAGGAGCCCGCGCAGGCGGAUCUCUGACGGUGUUGCAUCAGGGAUGGAGAGGGUACACAGCAUCUCGGGACGGUCUUUGGUCAGGACAGCAGUCCAGUGAACUUGAGGCGGCCCAGUGGAUCCAAAACCGCCAUCACCUCGCAACCGGUCAGUCGUCCUGCGCACAGAAGACUUAAAAGGCACAAGUUGAGCAAGCCGUGUCCCUUUUGGGAUCGUAACAGGGGGUGUGGGUGUGGAAACCAUUGCACAAAUCUGCCCUGUGAAGUCUGCAUCAAUGAGACCCAGGUGCACAAUGACGCCCUGAAGGGUGGCACUAGACCUCCCCAUGAGGAAGGCGCUCAUGCCUUCACCCAAGGGACCAAAGGCGUCCAGGGGAACCUUGUGCACCUUGCAAGAGUCUAACACGACUGUUGCUGCUGUGCAGACAUCCACACCUGCUGACCCGCGGGUGCUGGCGACAAGCUGGCCGAGCAGACCUCCAUGGGCUCUGGGGUCUGGAGAGGAACUUGUGUCUGAGCGCGCCCCCCCUUCGCGCUCCGCUUCCCGUUUCCCGGGCCCGGGAGUGCUUGGCCAUUAACAUGAACC
Molecule: long non-coding RNA, 2754 nt
Organism: Taeniopygia guttata (zebra finch)
Lineage: Eukaryota; Metazoa; Chordata; Aves; Passeriformes; Estrildidae
Source: Ensembl